UCUUUUUUUUUUCUUUCUUUUCUUUUAGUGUUAUUCUUUUUUCUUGUUCUUUCUUUUGACGAUAUUUUUCCUUUUCUUUCUUUCAUUUUAUUUUCUAUUGGUGUUUUUCUCUUUCUUUUCUUUCUCUUCUUUUUCUUUUCCUUUUGUUUCUUUUCCUGUCAUCCUUGUGUUGAUGUUCGUUGGUCUGGGUGAGCCGCUUUCCUCCCAGAAGAGACCCACCCAUAAUUUUGGUGAUGUUGCUGAGGGCCGAAAGGUGGAUGAUGUUUUUCUUUCCUUGAUGUUUUGUUUUCAUUUUCGAUGUUAUUCUGUUCACUUUCUUGCUCCUGUUGUUUUCUAUAUCAUCCUUUUGUUGAUGUUCGUUGGUCUGGGUGAGCCGCUUUCCUCCCAGAAGAGACCCACCCAUAAUCUUGUGAUGUUACUUGUGGCCGAAAGGUGGAUGAUGUUUUUUUCUUCUUUUCUUGAUGUUGGUCUUUUAUCUUUUCUGUGUCAUCCGUUCUGAUGUUCUUUGGUCUGGCUGAGCCUUUUUCUCCCCAGAAAAGACCCACCCAUAAUUUUGUGAUGUUACUUGGGUCCGAAAGGUGGAUGAUGUUUUUUUCUUCUUUUCUUGAUGUUGGUCUUUUAUCUUUUCUGUGUCAUCCCUGUUUGAUGUUCUGUGGUCUGGAUGAGCCUUUUUCUCCCCAGAAAAGACCCACCCAUAAUUUUGGUGAUGUUAGUUAGGGCCGAAAGGUGGAUGAUCUGUUUCAUAUUUAGUUUUCUUGAUGUUUCGUUUCUACAUUUUCUUCAUUCUGGUGUUCUUUUUCAUUUUCAUUUUCAUUUUGGUGUUCCCAUCACGUGGAUGUCUACGACAUCUGACGAGCUCCACCUGCCCGGGUUUGUUGUUCGGAGUUUGCUCUCCUAGGUGAACUGCCUACCACGGCUAACGAGCUCCACCUGCCCGGGUUUAUUGUUCGGAGUUUGCUCUCCUAGGUGAACUGCCUACCAUGGCUAACGAGCUCCACCUGCCCGGGUUUGUUGUUCGGAGUUUGCUCUCCUAGGUGAACUGCCUACCAUGGCUAACGAGCUCCACCUGCCCGGGUUUGUUGUUCGGAGUUUGCUCUCCUAGGCAGACUGCCUACCACGGCUAACGAGCUCCACCUGCCCGGGUUUAUUGUUCGGAGUUUGCUCUCCUAGGCAGACUGCCUACCACGGCUAACGAGCUCCACCUGCCCGGGUUUAUUGUUUGGAGUUUGCUCUCCUAGGUGAACUGCCUACCACGGCUAACGAGCUCCACCUGCCCGGGUUUGUUGUUCGGAGUUUGCUCUCCUAGGUGAAUUGCCUACCACGGCUAACGAGCUCCACCUGCCCGGGUUUAUUGUUCGGAGUUUGCUCUCCUAGGUGAAUUGCCUACCA
Eriocheir sinensis (Chinese mitten crab) is the source of this 1389-nucleotide long non-coding RNA. RefSeq lists it as uncharacterized. The transcript is spliced from 5 exons. The record is from RefSeq and is a predicted model, not a curated record. Lineage: Eukaryota; Metazoa; Arthropoda; Malacostraca; Decapoda; Varunidae.